GACGAACGCUGGCGGCGUGCUUAACACAUGCAAGUCGAACGGUGAAGGGACCGGUUUUUGCUGGUUCUGGAUGAGUGGCGAACGGGUGAGUAACACGUGAGUAACCUGCCCCCUUCUUCUGGAUAACCGCAUGAAAGUGUGGCUAAUACGGGAUAUUCUGCGCCUGCUGCAUGGUGGGUGUGGGAAAGAUAUUGCUUCGGUGGGGGAUGGGCUCGCGGCCUAUCAGCUUGUUGGUGGGGGGAUGGCCUACCAAGGCGGUGACGGGUAGCCGGCCUGAGAGGGUGGGCGGUCACACAGGGACUGAGACACGGCCCAGACUCCUACGGGAGGCAGCAGUGAAGAAUAUUGCACGAUGGGCGCAAGCCUGGUGCAGCGACGCCGCGGGAGGGAUGGUGUCCUUCGCGUUGUAAACCUCUUUCGCCAGUGAAGCAGGCCUGUCCCUUUUGUGGGUGGGUUGACGGUAGCUGGAUAAGAAGCUCCGGCUAACUACGUG
Molecule: ribosomal RNA, 493 nt
Filed under: uncultured bacterium
Lineage: Bacteria
Description: partial 16S ribosomal RNA
Rfam family: Bacterial small subunit ribosomal RNA
Source: RNAcentral